CCUACGGGAGGCAGCAGUGGGGAAUAUUGCGCAAUGGGGGCAACCCUGACGCAGCAACGCCGCGUGAUUGAAGAAGGCCUUCGGGUUGUAAAGAUCUUUAAUUGGGGACGAAACAAAUGACGGUACCCGAAGAAUAAGCUCCGGCUAACUACGUGCCAGCAGCCGCGGUAAUACGUAGGGAGCAAGCGUUAUCCGGAUUUAUUGGGUUUAAAGGGUGCGCAGGCGGAAGAUCAAGUCAGCGGUAAAAUUGAGAGGCUCAACCUCUUCGAGCCGUUGAAACUGGUUUUCUUGAGUGAGCGAGAAGUAUGCGGAAUGCGUGGGGUAGCGGUGAAAUGCAUAGAUAUCACGCAGAACUCCGAUUGCGAAGGCAGCAUACCGGCGCUCAACUGACGCUCAUGCACGAAAGUGUGGGUAUCGAACAGGAUUAGAUACCCCGGUAGUC
Molecule: ribosomal RNA, 442 nt
Filed under: uncultured bacterium
Lineage: Bacteria
Description: partial 16S ribosomal RNA
Rfam family: Bacterial small subunit ribosomal RNA
Source: RNAcentral